CUAGUUAACCACACAAUCCAAUCAGUGUGUAAACAAAUGGCUUCUAUCAGCUUAUACAGCAGUUCCACUGAUCCUGUGUGAUAAAUUAAGGCCCCAUAAAAUAGAAUUGAUCCUAACUGGAAAUGAACAGUUUCAUGAUCAUUGAAUAUACAUGUAUAUAGAUUGCUUUCGCCCCCUGCAUUUUCAAAUAUGCAUUUGAAAACACACACAAG
This is a non-coding RNA of Pelobates cultripes (western spadefoot toad), 212 nucleotides long. The record is from the annotation of a GenBank genome assembly. Lineage: Eukaryota; Metazoa; Chordata; Amphibia; Anura; Pelobatidae.